AAAUUGAAGAGUUUGAUCAUGGCUCAGAUUGAACGCUGGCGGCAGGCCUAACACAUGCAAGUCGAACGGUAGCACAGAGAGCUUGCUCUCGGGUGACGAGUGGCGGACGGGUGAGUAAUGUCUGGGAAACUGCCUGAUGGAGGGGGAUAACUACUGGAAACGGUAGCUAAUACCGCAUAACGUCGCAAGACCAAAGAGGGGGACCUUCGGGCCUCUUGCCAUCAGAUGUGCCCAGAUGGGAUUAGCUAGUAGGUGGGGUAACGGCUCACCUAGGCGACGAUCCCUAGCUGGUCUGAGAGGAUGACCAGCCACACUGGAACUGAGACACGGUCCAGACUCCUACGGGAGGCAGCAGUGGGGAAUAUUGCACAAUGGGCGCAAGCCUGAUGCAGCCAUGCCGCGUGUAUGAAGAAGGCCUUCGGGUUGUAAAGUACUUUCAGCGGGGAGGAAGGCGUUGUGGUUAAUAACCACAGCGAUUGACGUUACCCGCAGAAGAAGCACCGGCUAACUCCGUGCCAGCAGCCGCGGUAAUACGGAGGGUGCAAGCGUUAA
Molecule: ribosomal RNA, 552 nt
Filed under: Enterobacter sichuanensis
Lineage: Bacteria; Pseudomonadati; Pseudomonadota; Gammaproteobacteria; Enterobacterales; Enterobacteriaceae
Description: bacterial SSU rRNA
Rfam family: Bacterial small subunit ribosomal RNA
Source: RNAcentral